This 2149-nucleotide ribosomal RNA is filed under the name Morganella morganii. Its description in RNAcentral is "partial 23S ribosomal RNA". It matches the Rfam family "Bacterial large subunit ribosomal RNA", at positions 1 to 2162 of the family's 2925-position model. The record is from RNAcentral. Lineage: Bacteria; Pseudomonadati; Pseudomonadota; Gammaproteobacteria; Enterobacterales; Morganellaceae.
GGGUUGUGAGGUUAAGCGAAUAAGCGUACACGGUGGAUGCCUAGGCAGUCAGAGGCGAUGAAGGACGUGCUAAUCUGCGAUAAGCGCCGGUAAGGUGAUAUGAACCGUUAUAACCGGCGAUUUCCGAAUGGGGAAACCCAGUGUGAUCCGUCACACUAUCAUUACCUGAAUACAUAGGGUAAUGAAGCGAACCGGGAGAACUGAAACAUCUAAGUACCCCGAGGAAAAGAAAUCAAACGAGAUUCCCCCAGUAGCGGCGAGCGAACGGGGAGCAGCCCAGGACCUUAAUCAGCAUCAGUGUUAAGAGAACAGUCUGGAAAGGCUGGCCACAGCAGGUGAUAGCCCUGUAUCUGAAAGCACUGGUGUUGUGAGUCCGAUGAGUAAGGCGGGACACGUGUUAUCCUGUCUGAAUACGGGGGGACCAUCCUCCAAGGCUAAAUACUCCUGACUGACCGAUAGUGAACCAGUACCGUGAGGGAAAGGCGAAAAGAACCCCGGCGAGGGGAGUGAAAAAGAACCUGAAACCGUGUACGUACAAGCAGUGGGAGCACCUUUAUGGUGUGACUGCGUACCUUUUGUAUAAUGGGUCAGCGACUUAUAUUCUGUAGCAAGGUUAACCGAAUAGGGGAGCCGCAGGGAAACCGAGUCUUAACUGGGCGAAUUAGUUGCAGGGUAUAGACCCGAAACCCGGUGAUCUAGCCAUGGGCAGGUUGAAGGUUGGGUAACACUAACUGGAGGACCGAACCGACUAAUGUUGAAAAAUUAGCGGAUGACUUGUGGCUGGGGGUGAAAGGCCAAUCAAACCGGGAGAUAGCUGGUUCUCCCCGAAAGCUAUUUAGGUAGCGCCUCGUGAAUUCAUCUCCGGGGGUAGAGCACUGUUUCGGCUAGGGGGUCAUCCCGACUUACCAACCCGAUGCAAACUGCGAAUACCGGAGAAUGUUAUCACGGGAGACACACGGCGGGUGCUAACGUUCGUCGUGAAGAGGGAAACAACCCAGACCGCCGGCUAAGGUCCCAAAGUCAUAAUUAAGUGGGAAACGAAGUGGGAAGGCUCAGACAGCCAGGAUGUUGGCUUAGAAGCAGCCAUCAUUUAAAGAAAGCGUAAUAGCUCACUGGUCGAGUCGGCCUGCGCGGAAGAUGUAACGGGGCUAAAUUAUGCACCGAAGCCGCGGCAGCGAUAUGUAAAUAUUGUUGGGUAGGGGAGCGUUCUGUAAGCCUGUGAAGGUGUGCUGUGAGGCAUGCUGGAGGUAUCAGAAGUGCGAAUGCUGACAUAAGUAACGAUAAUGCGGGUGAAAAACCCGCACGCCGGAAGACCAAGGGUUCCUGUCCAACGUUAAUCGGGGCAGGGUGAGUCGACCCCUAAGGCGAGGCUGAAAAGCGUAGUCGAUGGGCAACGGGUUAAUAUUCCCGUACUGGUGGUAACUGCGAAGGGGGGACGGAGAAAGCUAAAUCAUCCGGGCGACGGUUGUCCCGGUUUAAGCGUGCAGGUGGACUGACCAGGCAAAUCCGGUCGGUUGUUAACACUGAGGCGUGACGACGAGCCACUACGGUGGUGAAGUGAUUGAUGCUCUGCUUCCGGGAAAAGCCUCUAAGCUCCAGGUUACCAUUAAUCGUACCCCAAACCGACACAGGUGGUCAGGUAGAGAAUACUCAGGCGCUUGAGAGAACUCGGGUGAAGGAACUAGGCAAAAUGGUGCCGUAACUUCGGGAGAAGGCACGCUGGCAUUAGGUGAAGUGGUUUACCCACGGAGCUGAAGCCAGCCGCAGAUACCAGCUGGCUGCAACUGUUUAUUAAAAACACAGCACUGUGCAAACACGAAAGUGGACGUAUACGGUGUGACGCCUGCCCGGUGCCGGAAGGUUAAUUGAUGAGGUCAGCCGCAAGGCGAAGCUUCUGAUCGAAGCCCCGGUAAACGGCGGCCGUAACUAUAACGGUCCUAAGGUAGCGAAAUUCCUUGUCGGGUAAGUUCCGACCUGCACGAAUGGCGUAAUGAUGGCCAGGCUGUCUCCACCCGAGACUCAGUGAAAUUGAACUCGCUGUGAAGAUGCAGUGUACCCGCGGCAAGACGGAAAGACCCCGUGAACCUUUACUAUAGCUUGACACUGAACAUUGAGCCUUGAUGUGUAGGAUAGGUGGGAGGCAACGAAG